UACAGAGACUGCAAGCGUUUAUUCGGAUUCACUGGGCGUAAAGGGUGCGCAGGCGGCCGUGUGUGUGAGGCGUGAAAGCCCGGAGCUCAACUCCGGAAUUGCACCUCAAAACUACACGGCUAGAGCAUUGGAGAGGGUAGCGGAAUUCACGGUGUAGCAGUGAAAUGCGUAGAUAUCGUGAGGAACACCAGAGGCGAAAGGCGGCUACCUGGGACAAUUGCUGACGCUCAGGCACGAAAGCGUGGGGGAGCAAAAAGGG
This 259-nucleotide ribosomal RNA is filed under the name uncultured bacterium. Its description in RNAcentral is "partial 16S ribosomal RNA". It matches the Rfam family "Bacterial small subunit ribosomal RNA", at positions 524 to 777 of the family's 1533-position model. The record is from RNAcentral.